AAGACAGAGGGUACCUUAUGCAGCGUGGGGCAUUCCAAGUGAAUGCCAUUCCUUAACGCUUGGCCCUCAGCCUCCGGAAAGACCAAAGCAGUCUUAGUUAAUCAUUCUCCUAAUUUGCUCCAACCACUGUUGAAGCACUUUUCCUACAUGUUCCUAUGGUGACAACCCUGAGGGACUGUGCGAGUUCUCUGCUUUGUGAGGAAACGUUGACUUUCAGAGAUGUUAAGUAAUGGACUCCUAGAUGCACACUUGGAAACUUCCAGAGUCAGGACUCAGACCCUGAUUUUUCCAGCUUCUGAACCACAGGCAGAGUGGACAGUGAGAGAGAGACAGAGAGAAAGGUCUUCUUUCCGUUGGUUCACCCUCCAAUGGCCGCCGGGGCCGGCGCACCGCACUGAUCCAAAGGCAGGAGCCAGGUACUUCUCCUGGUCUCCCAUGCGGGUGCAGGGCCCAAACACUUGGGCCAUCCUCCACUGCACUCCCUGGCCACAGCAGAGAGCUGGCCUGGAAGAGGAGCAACCGGGACAGAAUCCGGUGCCCCGACUGGGAGUAGAACCUGGUGUGCUGGCGCCGCAAAGCGGAGGAUUAGCCUAGUGAGCUGUGGCGCCGGCCCUCAUCAUCUCCUUUGUUUCGCUUCUCCUGGCCCAAAAGCCCUGGCUUCCAAGCACAUUCUCCAGUGCAUAAUGAUUGCACGCCGUCCCAGCCACAGCUCUCCUGAUGGGUACCUGUGCCAAGCACUGGGGAAUAAAGCCUCCGAUAAAUUCAAAGGCAGAAGUUGCUGAAUGUGCUACAGAUACCUUUCAGUUAAAUUUUCACUCUUGGAGUUGUGAAAACUAAAAAUAUUAAGAUCUGUGGCACACUUCCUAGAGACAAUGCGCGUCUGGAACACCUCGUGCCUGCCUCUACCUGUGAGAGCGUGAAACGGCUGGAUGUGGCACGAACGCUAAUUAUAUACUCUUGUUAAUUGUAUAUGUCUUUGAAGUGGUGGCAAAGUGUAACUCGGGGGAUGGUGGGCGGAGCUGGGAAUCAAGAAGAGAGCUUCCUGAGACAGGCCCGAGCGUGUGCGAAGGUGGAAGAUUUCGGUGAUCUCUGGUGCCUUCCUUCGAGACCCUGGCGCUGGUUUUCAGUCCCUGCUGAAGAAAUCGGCGCCUGGGGAAUGCAAUCAGCGAUGACGUCAUGACUUGAACCAGGUCACGCGGCUUGAGGUCAAGGCCUGUCACAUCCCCUGCCUGGGGUCAAUUUAAUGGGUGUAUUAAUCCCUGCUUGUUCUGUACGGUAAUAAACUUCUUAAUGUAACUCCUCAGAAGAGGUAAAACACUUUGUAAAAAUACCUUUACUAUUCCACUCCUUAUGAGACAAUUAGCUGGCAAGCGAUUUUAACUGCUAUCUUGUGGAUGUUGAAAUUGAGGCUGCGAUUUUAAAUAGUUUACCUAGGUCAUAGAUGAGGUCUACAAAAACGCAAAUUAAGCAAAAAAUUUGGAAAAUGGACAGCAACUGGAUUGAACAAGGGCCAAUGUAGUCACUCAAACCCAUGGUGAAUCAGAACUCGUGCCUUUGAUUGUUAGUAGGUCUCCAGUGUUGCAGAAAUUAGCCGCUGCGUAAAUGAUCUUUUUAGAAUUAUUUAAGUGUGAACUUGUCAAAGUUUUCAAAACAAUGAAAAGAGUGUAAUAUCAAAAAAGUAGAGCACAAAAGCCUCAUUUUUGCUUCAUAUAACUGUCAAAGAGUCAGGGUGCCUCUCAGACAUUUCUCCAAGCUGCCCUUGUCAUGUUAAUGUUCUAAGGUUAUACUGUUUAUUUACAACUUGGCAAACCAGGGCAGUAUUGAAAGGUAAAUAUUUAUUUCCCAAUUUGCUGUUUUUUCUCUUUUUCAUGUGCAGAAUAUAAUUUUGUGCUUUCUACCACUAUAGCCUUUCUUUCUUUUCCAUCUGUCUGUCUGUCUUUGCAUGAGCUUGGGCUCCUACAUUUUACUUGCCAUUGAGUUUGGUGGCAUUAAAUGCUAAGCACCCAGCAGCACUCCCUCCGUGCCCCCCUCUAGCACCUGCCUCCCCAGAGAGGCCUCCUUCCUUUGCCCGGAUGCUGCAGCUUCGGGCUCUGUAACUCAGCGCCUCCCGCUCAGUCCUCCGGCCCUUAAUGUGCUCUUUCAUCUCCACGGUCCUUGACACCACACAGACAUCCCAUGUCGAAAUCUCCGUCAGAGUCUCGACUUGUCUGCUAGACUAAACAGAGACGAGGAAACAGGUAAUGACAGGAUUGAAACAUGGUUGGGGGAUCUUGGGAGGGAAAAAGAAGGUAAGAAAAAAAUAUUUGAUGAACAACAUAGUCACCCAAGCUUGUGGUGUCUCCUCAGAGCUUCCCAAUGUUUGGAAGUUUUCCCAAGGCUUGCCCUGGUGAGACAGAAAAGACUUAUUAGCUCAUUGCGUCUGCUUCUCCACCUGGGCAGGAAAGAGUCUCCCAUACGGGGAACAUAUGGCUUGGUCUUAGAUUAGCAGCAAAGAAUGUCAGUUGGCAGACAGAUGGAGGAGAAGCGGAGGAUUGUGUGAGUGUUGCUAGCCUGGACUCCAACAAAUGGAUUUUUAAAAAUCACAUCCAGUUAGUUCCGUUAUGAAAAUAAACACUGGCCAGCCGGAGCAGUGGAAGAAGAGUUAGCAUUUAUGGAACACACGUUGCAAUCUAAGUGUGGGGUUUUACGGAUCUUUCUUGCUAGUCCUCGCCGGUCGUUUUCUUGUCUCCAUUUUACAGAUGAAUAAAGUGAGGAUCAGAAGUGUGUGGUCAUCUUAUCCCAGGUCACGCAGCCAAGUCCAGUGGCAGAGCCCAACCCCCCACCCAGGAGUUUCAUUUGAAAAUCAGUGCUUUUUGGAAGAGGUAAAUCAGAGAUGGUAAAAAUGGCUUCAUAUGCUUCUUAGCUACUUGUUUGAUUCUUUGGAACCCAAAUAAAAGGAAACGCCCCUUCCUGCUUUCUUCUCUCCCCCUCUUCCACCUUUUCUUCCUCUCCCUUGCCACCCUCUCUUUAAUUUUAAAGAUUUACUCAAUUAUUAUUUGAAAGGUAGAAUGACAGAGAGAAGAGAGGUCUUCCAUCUGUUGCUUCACUCCCCCAGUACCUUGCAAUAGCUGAGGCUUGGCCAGGCCAAAGCCAGGAGCCAGGAGCCAGGAACUCCAUCUAGGUCUCCCUCCUGGAUGUUGGAACCCAGGUCCUUAGGCCACCAUCUGCUGCCUCCUGAGUGAAUUAGCAGGCAUCUGAAAUGAGAUGUGCGCAUCCCAAGCAGCAGCUUAACUCACUGUAUCACAAUGCAUCCCACCCCCUUAAAUUGUGUUGCUGUAGCUGCUACACCCAUUGCUUCAUUUAAUGAGAAUAUAGAAGUAGGCUUUGGGGAAUGGAAACAAGAAAGAGGACAUGGAAAGAAAGCAGGAAUGAAAGAAUCAGACCUGAUAAAAAUUCACCAUCUCACCCUUUCCCACCUGCUUUUUAAGGAGGGAAGACCGUUACUUCUUGGCUUAGAUUGGGAGCUCGUUGGGCAGAAUCCAAGGGAGGAUGGGGAGUAGAUAUUGAUUCCCGAAGAAAAGGAAGGAAGACUGCAGCAUUGAUUUUCGUAAUGAAGGGAGAGAGGCUGAUAAGGGGGAGGGUGUAAUUGUGAAUUCAAUUUCCUUUUUCUUUUUCCCUAUGUACUUCUGCUACUAUGGUCUUUUUGUUUGCAUAUUUAUUUGUUUAUUUAUUUAUUUUUUGGGGGGUAGAGAGAGAGAGAUACUGCCAUCUUCUAGUUCACUCCAAAAAUGCUUGCAGCAGGGACAUGCUGAAGGCAGGAAUCAGGAACUCAUUACAGCUCUCCCAUGUGGAUAGCAGGGACCCAAGUACUUGAGCCAUUAACUGGGUCCACCUAAGAAGGAAGCUAGAAUCGGAAGCAGAAUGGGAUGUGGGCGAACCAAGUGGCGUCUUAACCACG
Long non-coding RNA from Oryctolagus cuniculus (rabbit), 3937 nucleotides. RefSeq lists it as uncharacterized. The record is from RefSeq and is a predicted model, not a curated record. NCBI's taxonomy places the organism in Eukaryota, Metazoa, Chordata, Mammalia, Lagomorpha, Leporidae.